This 595-nucleotide long non-coding RNA is filed under the name Salmo salar (Atlantic salmon). RNAcentral describes it as "lncRNA (ENSSSAG00000109402.1)". Lineage: Eukaryota; Metazoa; Chordata; Actinopteri; Salmoniformes; Salmonidae. The record is from RNAcentral.
UGGUGCUUGAUGGAUCUUCGGGAGGAGAUAGAGUCUCUGUCUGGAGAGACUCAAUCCAGUUGGGAGAGUGGACGGUUUUAUAAGUGAGUAUAGCCACGUGAAGACCGGGAGGGAGGCUUCUUCUCCACAGCCCAGAUCAUGUGCAGUCUGUCAACAUGGAUCAAGGCCCACCCUCCCCGUCUCAUCGAUGACCAUCCAGCAUACAAGGUGAGAUGCCUCCUGAGUGUUCGACCUCAGGGCAGGGGUUUCCAGUACCUGGUUACUGGGAGGGUUAUGGCCGGAGGAGAGGUGCUGGGUCCCUGCUAAGGACAUCCUGGACCCGGUCAACCACCGGCAUCCCGUUCAACAAGUCCUCCCAGUUCCGACCUUUUCUGCCUGCCCUGACGUCGAGCCUGCCUGCCGUCCUGUACCCAACUGACUCUGACCUGGUUUACAAACUUCUGCUUGUCCUCAACCUGCGUCUUGCCUGCCCCUUGUCUUUUAAUAAACAUCAGAGACUCAAACCAUCUGCCUCCUGUGUCUGUAUUUGGGUCUCGUCCUGUGUCGUUAUAGUAGGUGUCAUGUCAUGGUAACCAAUUACACAAAUAUAGUUUAA